CCUAAAGAAAUAUGUAGUAAUAUGGUACCCAAAGGUGGGAUCCUAAAGAAUAUGUAGUAAUAUGGUACCCAAAGGUGGGAUCCUAAAGAAUAUGUAGUAAUAUGGUACCCAAAGGUGGGAUCCUAAAGAAUAUGUAGUAAUAUGGUACCCAAAGGUGGGAUCCUAAAGAAUAUGUAGUAAUAUGGUACCCAAAGGUGGGAUCCUAAAGAAUAUGUAGUAAUAUGGUACCCAAAGGUGGGAUCCUAAAGAAAUAUGUAGUAAUAUGGUACCCAAAGGUGGGAUCCUAAAGAAUAUGUAGUAAUAUGGUACCCAAAGGUGGGAUCCUAAAGAAUAUGUAGUAAUAUGGUACCCAAAGGUGGGAUCCUAAAGAAUAUGUAGUAAUAUGGUACCCAAAGGUGGGAUCCUAAAGAAUAUGUAGUAAUAUGGUACCCAAAGGUGGGAUCCUAAAGAAUAUGUAGUAAUAUGGUACCCAAAGGUGGGAUCCUAAAGAAUAUGUAGUAAUAUGGUACCCAAAGGUGGGAUCCUAAAGAAUAUGUAGUAAUAUGGUACCCAAAGGUGGGAUCCUAAAGAAAUAUGUAGUAAUAUGGUACCUAAAUGUGGGAUCCUAAAGAAUAUGUAGUAAUAUGGUACCUAAAUGUGGGAUUCUAAGUUAAGAAUUUCCUUAAGUAGAUACGUAUGAAGGUAUGUAUGUAUGUAUGUAUGUGUGAAUAUAAGUGGUAUGUAUGAAUGAAUGUAUGUAUGUAUGUAUGUAAGUGUGUAUGUAGGUAGUAUGUGUAUGUGUAUAUAUAUAUCCAAGUGAGUAUGUACGAAAGUGUGUGCACGUAUGUAGGGUUGUGAGAAGGCAUGUAAUAGGUAUGUAUGUAGUCAUGUAUGCAUGUAUGUAUGUAGGUAUGCACGUAUGUAGGAACGUACGUAUGAAUGUAGGUACGUAGGUUUGUAAGUAGUUAUGUGUGAACGGAUGCACAUAUGUAAGUAUGUAUGAAAGUAUAUACGCAUGUAUUCAAUGAAAUUGAGUAUUGACGAUAAUAAUAGUGUGCCUUGUGAACGAAGUGUAACGCAGGUACAAUGAGAAAGUCUCACCACGGAAUGUACGAUCAGAUGGAAAGCUGGGAUGUAAAGAAUUAACGGAACAAAAGUAAACGUGAAUAAAUCUUGUAUGUUUAUAAUGCGUACUAAUGUUAUGAAUUUAAUGUGGUGAGCGCAGGUAGUACGAGUCAUGAGGAUCAUCAAGGAACAGAGAUCGAGGAUCGAGUCACUAGUGAGAUUGUACGGGAACGUUGAUGUAUAUAAUGUAGUAAACAUAAGCUAUGUUUUUACUUAGUAAAUAAGUCGAUUGAUGGAUUUAUGUGAAAGAGUUAUGUUAAAGUUAAUUU
RNAcentral lists this long non-coding RNA (1373 nucleotides) under Helianthus annuus (common sunflower). RNAcentral's name for it is "hypothetical non coding rna". Lineage: Eukaryota; Viridiplantae; Streptophyta; Magnoliopsida; Asterales; Asteraceae. The record is from RNAcentral.